Molecule: ribosomal RNA, 497 nt
Filed under: uncultured bacterium
Lineage: Bacteria
Description: partial 16S ribosomal RNA
Rfam family: Bacterial small subunit ribosomal RNA
Source: RNAcentral
GAUGAACGCUGGCGGCGUGCCUAAUACAUGCAAGUCGAGCGAACAGACGAGGAGCUUGCUCCUCUGACGUUAGCGGCGGACGGGUGAGUAACACGUGGAUAACCUACCUAUAAGACUGGGAUAACUUCGGGAAACCGGAGCUAAUACCGGAUAAUAUAUUGAACCGCAUGGUUCAAUAGUGAAAGACGGUUUUGCUGUCACUUAUAGAUGGAUCCGCGCCGCAUUAGCUAGUUGGUAAGGUAACGGCUUACCAAGGCAACGAUGCGUAGCCGACCUGAGAGGGUGAUCGGCCACACUGGAACUGAGGCACGGUCCAGACUCCUACGGGAGGCAGCAGUAGGGAAUCUUCCGCAAUGGGCGAAAGCCUGACGGAGCAACGCCGCGUGAAUGAUGAAGGUCUUCGGAUCGUAAAACUCUGUUAUUAGGGAAGAACAAAUGUGUAAGUAACUAUGCACGUCUUGACGGUACCUAAUCAGAAACCCACGGCUAACUACGUG